CCUACGGGGGGCUGCAGCAAGGAAUUUUCCGCAAUGGGCGAAAGCCUGACGGAGCAACGCCGCGUGUGGGAGGACGCCCUUCGGGGUGUAAACCACUUUUCUUGGGGACGACGAACGACGGUACCCGAGGAAGAAGGACCUGCUAACUACGUGCCAGCAGCCGCGGUAAUACGUAGGGUCCGAGCGUUGUCCGGAGUUACUGGGCGUAAAGCGCGCGCAGGCGGCUGAUCAAGUCUGGCGUGAAAGCCCCCGGCUCAACCGGGGAGGGUCGUCGGAGACUGGUGAGCUUGAGGGCGGUAGGGGCUGGUGGAAUUCCCGGUGUAGUGGUGAAAUGCGUAGAGAUCGGGAGGAACACCCGUGGCGAAGGCGGCCAGCUGGGCCGACCCUGACGCUGAGGCGCGAAGGCGUGGGGAGCGAACGGGAUUAGAUACCCGGGUAGUC
RNAcentral lists this ribosomal RNA (441 nucleotides) under uncultured bacterium. Its description in RNAcentral is "partial 16S ribosomal RNA". It matches the Rfam family "Bacterial small subunit ribosomal RNA", at positions 338 to 795 of the family's 1533-position model. The record is from RNAcentral.